UACGGGAACAAGAGGUGGACAGCAUCAGAUUCAGGGGACAACGUCAAUGGGGCAUGUUGGGCGUAUGAGAUUCGGGUCCUUCUUGUUACAAGCUCAUUUCGCUUUUGCUUUUGCUUUUGAAUUUUGGUUAAAAUGGGGAGACUUGUUUAGCAAUGAAGCUGAUUUGAUGGUGGUGCUGCCAUGGCGACCUGCAUGUCUUGUGCAAUUCAAAUAUGAUCUUUCUCUGCGCCAUAAAAAGCCUACCUAAAAGAGAUCAUCUCUUACAUUUCUCCAGUAGUAAAUACUUGAUAUCUUGUCACUCGAUUUCCUAAUCCUGUUGUCUGUUGAAAUAUAGCUUCUAUAGUCUAUACUUCUGUUUUAUCGUAUAAGUGAGCCUGAAGAUUAUUUAUUUAGACUAGUUAGCGACAGCAACCAAACAUUGAUGUGAUAUCAGAUCUUUAAUUCGGUUUCUAGACUUACCGGCAACUUCUAUUAACUGUUGGGAUUGUACCUUGGAUCGAUAUAAUGAUAUUGAAUAACUGAGAGAUAGUCAUUAUAAGUGGUAGUUACUAGUGGGUGCUUCUUUCCAUUAAUACAAGUCAUAAUGUUCAAUUGUUUUCAAAGGUCAUUUGUCUGCAGACUGGUGCAAUUGCAGAAAAUAUGCCUGUUGAAUGUAGGAGUCGCAUUACUAAUGUGAUGAGAAAGAUGGCAACGAUGCCCUAUUUAUUAUUACGUGCCCAGUUCUGUAUGGCUGCAUGCUGGUAAGGCAUGCAUAUAGAGAACUAAUAGGUUGAGAAUAAAAGUGUACUCAGUGGCGUGGCACGAUUUGAAAGUUAAACUCUGAGAACUAGUGCUGGCUCAUGUGAAAUAUGAAGUCUGCUUCUCGAAACAAAAGUAUAGAAAAUCUUGAAGUAUGUCUAUGAAUUUCAAUUUCUUGGACUAUGUAUAAACUCUUUUUUGCUGCUUAAUAUUCA
Prosopis cineraria is the source of this 953-nucleotide long non-coding RNA. RefSeq lists it as uncharacterized. NCBI's taxonomy places the organism in Eukaryota, Viridiplantae, Streptophyta, Magnoliopsida, Fabales, Fabaceae. The transcript is spliced from 3 exons. The record is from RefSeq and is a predicted model, not a curated record.